Molecule: ribosomal RNA, 434 nt
Filed under: uncultured bacterium
Lineage: Bacteria
Description: partial 16S ribosomal RNA
Rfam family: Bacterial small subunit ribosomal RNA
Source: RNAcentral
AGCGAACGCUGGCGGCAGGCCUAACACAUGCAAGUCGAACGAACCUUUCGGGGUUAGUGGCGGACGGGUGAGUAACACGUGGGAACGUGCCUUUAGGUUCGGAAUAACUCAGGGAAACUUGUGCUAAUACCGAAUGUGCCCUUCGGGGGAAAGAUUUAUCGCCUUUAGAGCGGCCCGCGUCUGAUUAGCUAGUUGGUUGAGGUAAUGGCUCACCAAGGCGACGAUCAGUAGCUGGUCUGAGAGGAUGAUCAGCCACAUUGGGACUGAGACACGGCCCAAACUCCUACGGGAGGCAGCAGUGGGGAAUCUUGCACAAUGGGCGAAAGCCUGACGCAGCCAUGCCGCGUGAAUGAUGAAGGUCUUAGGAUUGUAAAAUUCUUUCACCGGGGACGAUAAUGACGGUACCCGGAGAAGAAGCCCCGGCUAACUUCGUG